GUCGGCGAGCCCGCGGUGGGGGUCCCCGCGCCGCCCAGGCCUACCCCGGCUCCUUGGGAUAGAUGGGGAGGCUGAGGCCCAGAAGGGGGCUGAGACCACCUCCCAGUUUCCCCAGCGAGGUGGCGCCUGAGCCACGGCCAGGCCCGGCCUCCUUCCACCCGGCCCUGCUGUGCGCGCGGCAGGUGCUGACCUGGCGAGGCCCGACAGGGGACCAGGUCGGGGUGACCGUCACUGACACCUGGACAGUCCUCGUUGUGUUCGGGGUGGGAAGCCCACGGAAGACACCAACACAGGAGGCUCCCAAGACUGCCGGGGCCAAAUGUGGCAGGUGGACGUCUCCCCGCCACCGAGCAAGCCAUCAGUUCUGCAGCGGACACCAGCCGAGUGUCCUCCAACACCAUUCCGGUACCUGCAGAUAGCAUCAGAUCCCACAGGGUGAGCGCUUAGCUCCAAGACACCUACACACACACACACACACGCACACACACACACGCGCACACACAUGAGCUGCGAGGGCCAGCCUCUGGAACUUCUUACCGACUGGCCCGACGUUGAGGUUCCCACUGUUAGAGGAACGCUUGCUCACCAGGCAUCUGGUUUAAUGAAACAUGACCAGAGUGACUCCAUCUUGAAGUGAGUAGGAGGCACUCACAAGGCACCUAUAAGGUUAAUGCUUAUGGUCUAAAAAUAGCCACGUCUCAAGCUGGACACCAAUUAUAAUUACAGAAUAUUUGUGGCCAUAUGGGGCAUCUCCCAGCAAGCCCGCAGACUGUCCAGAUA
This 780-nucleotide long non-coding RNA is filed under the name Pan troglodytes (chimpanzee). RNAcentral's name for it is "lincRNA". The record is from RNAcentral. Lineage: Eukaryota; Metazoa; Chordata; Mammalia; Primates; Hominidae.